Molecule: ribosomal RNA, 253 nt
Filed under: uncultured bacterium
Lineage: Bacteria
Description: partial 16S ribosomal RNA
Rfam family: Bacterial small subunit ribosomal RNA
Source: RNAcentral
UACGUAGGUGGCAAGCGUUGUCCGGAUUUAUUGGGUUUAAAGGGUGCGUAGGCGGUGCAGCAAGUCGGGAGUGAAAUCCCACAGCUCAACUGUGGAAUUGCUUUCGAUACUGCUGUGCUUGAGUGAGACAGAGGUAAGCGGAACUUAGGGUGGAGCGGUGAAAUGCGUUGAUAUCCUAAGGAACACCGGUGGCGAAGGCGGCUUACUGGGUCUCUACUGACGCUGAUGCACGAAAGCCAGGGUAGCGAACGGG